AAGACAAAUUAAAGACAAUAAAACAACAAAACAAAAAUAAACAAACAUAAGAAAAACACGCAAAUAAAAAGAAUCGAAAGAAAGAAAAUAGAAAACAAAACGAAAUAGAAAAAAAGUGAAAUUUCUUACGAACACCAAAAAUCUUUCAGGAAAAACAAGAGAGGAAAAAAAAUCCACAAGAACGUGACUGAAGAGAGAAAGAAAGAAAGAGAGAAGAGGAAAUAAAAGGAAAAAAAAAUAAAAGAAGAGGAAAAAAGAAGAACUAAACUCGACAUGUCAGCAAAAUUGAUACCAACUUACCUUUGAAGAUAUUACAGGUGUGUACGUGGACGCGCGGCGGACAGGUGAGGACAGGCGGGCAACACACCUGUGAACACACCUCAGCAGCCUCUCCACUGUUUACCUGCCGCGGGGAAAAGAGAGGAAGGAAAAAGAAGGGAAAAAAAACAAGUCCGCUGGAAAAAGAUGGUGAUGUGACGGCGGAGGAAAGAGGAAAGAAAAAGAAGGAAGGCAAAUAGAGGAAAUAAACAGAAUAAAAGGAAAAUAGGGGAUAGAAGGAAAAGGAGGAAGAGAAGAAGGAAAAACGAAAAGUCAGAGUGAGAAUGCGAGAAUUGUAAAAGGAGAAAAGGAGAGACAGAAAGAGAGAAAGAGAGAGAGAAAGAGAGAGAGAGAGAGAGAAAGCCAGUAGGGAAACAGAAAGCAAAAGGAUAAACGCAUAGCCAAAA
This is a long non-coding RNA of Portunus trituberculatus (swimming crab), 725 nucleotides long. RefSeq lists it as uncharacterized. Lineage: Eukaryota; Metazoa; Arthropoda; Malacostraca; Decapoda; Portunidae. The transcript is spliced from 2 exons. The record is from RefSeq and is a predicted model, not a curated record.